GUAGUCCACGCUGUAAACGAUGAGUGCUAGAUAUCGGGGAGUUUACUCUUCGGUUUCGUAGUUAACGCAUUAAGCACUCCGCCUGGGGAGUACGGUCGCAAGAUUAAAACUCAAAGGAAUUGACGGGGGCUCGCACAAGUGGUGGAGCAUGCGGUUUAAUUCGAUGUUACGCGAAAAACCUUACCAACCCUUGACAUGGUGGUCGCGGAUCGCAGAGAUGCUUUCCUUCAGUUCGGCUGGACCACACACAGGUGUUGCAUGGCUGUCGUCAGCUCGUGUCGUGAGAUGUUGGGUUAAGUCCCGCAACGAGCGAAACCCUCAUCCUUAUUUGCCAGCGGGUAAUGCCGGGAACUAUACGGAAACUGCCGGUGAUAAGCCGGA
Molecule: ribosomal RNA, 381 nt
Filed under: uncultured bacterium
Lineage: Bacteria
Description: bacterial SSU rRNA
Rfam family: Bacterial small subunit ribosomal RNA
Source: RNAcentral